Molecule: long non-coding RNA, 2677 nt
Organism: Strigops habroptila (Kakapo)
Lineage: Eukaryota; Metazoa; Chordata; Aves; Psittaciformes; Psittacidae
Source: Ensembl
UGUUAUUAAGUAUCUCACCUUUUAUUUUGUUCAUUUACACUUCUGGCACUGACAAUUCUUUGAAGAUAUUUAUUUUUAUGUAAAGACCAAACUUCAUUAAAGCAAUCAGAAGUCAACUGAAUAAUUUUACAUCACUUAAGUUCCAGAAAAUGUACACCACUUUCAUACAUUGUAGGCUUGACUGGCUGCAAAAGGAAAUGGCACAUGUUUGACAUGGUUAAGAAGUAAUUUGGACAACCCAGCAAUUAGUUUUGCCAAAACCUGUUUGGUACUGAAUACCGUAACACGCACCUAGAGAUUACAGUAUGCCUGAUGGCACCAUGUGCAUGUUCUUAUUCACCAUGGCAUUGUUACUAUCCAUUUGGUCUCUAAUAAUGUCUAAAAUAUUCUACAUAGACUAAAACUGAUUGAUGGUUUUGUAGGGGUGUGAGAUUCAUGAUGGAAAGCAGAGACGUGACUUGUGCCACUUCCCAGCAAUGCCCUGGACCAGCAGGACACUGAAUACAUGGAGAGUAUCAAGCAUAUGAAUAAUCCUAUCGAUUUCAUGGGGACUGCUCGAACACUUAAAAUCAAACAGAUGGCAGGCGUGCCCAAGGCAGGGCCUGCGGCGUAACGCUGCCUCCCAGCACCACGAAACCGACUCGUUUCACAGCUGCGGAGGACCCAGGAAGUUUCUCCUGCAGAAGUCACGAUGAUGGUCAUACAUUCAGUCCUCUCUAAAGUCUGUGUAAUGUUUAAGGCAGUGAGAGACAUUUGCCUUUAUUUUAACACUUCAGAAAUGAAUGUUUCCUUUAGAAAUAGGUGGACAAUAUUCAUAAUUAAUCAGUGUGCCCUGUACUUACAUAAAUGUGAUGGAAGGCCAAACCAAAUUUUGACAAACUGUAUCUCAACAGAAUCAAGGAGCAUAACUGGAGUUCAAGCGUUAUAAUUACAUGUGCCAGAUCAUUCACAUGUAACAAACCAUCUAGGGACAAUGUGAAAAAGUGGGGAUUUAGGUGAAAUCUGUAUUCUUGAGGCCUGAUGCUGGUCAAAUUUCCCCUGGCGUAAGUGAGCUCUACUGAAGCUGAGUGAGCACCUCUGGUGAGAGGCGUGAGGAAGGUUAAAAACAUGCUGCUGGUUCACACUAACAGGUCAUUGUGGCUAAAGUAUAUUCUCAUAUACAGAACUCUGGAACACUAUUAACACCCAUUUACAAAACACUACAGUGAUGGUUAUUGGCACAUAAAAAACUCCUCCUCUAUAUGAAAACAUACACAAAAUAGAUAAGAACUGCCAUUUUUUCAGACUUUUAAAAUCUAUAUAUAGUUGCCUUUAAGGAGUUUUAACCCCCAGUAUCACAAACAACAAUAUUUCUUAACAAUGUUCACCUAGAUUUUACUGUGCUGACAUUUGUAACACUGCCACAACCUAGACCGCUUUGUGGAUUAUGCUUAACUGUACUGUACACAAGGUGAUGGAGAUCCAUAGAAAACCACUAAGAUUUUUGCACAAAAAUGUGACUCAUUAAAAUCCAGAGAACGACUGAGUCACUUUAUAGGCAGCAGCUACAUGUAAGCUGUAAAUGGUACCCGCAAUAAAAACACAUUUUGCCAUAAAGCACAUAUUGUGGCAUUAUCUGCUUCUGGCCUGGUACACAAAGCUUGAUUUUCUUCCCAACGCAAAGGAAUGGGUUUGGUUAGCUUGACUCUCUCAGAAAAAAGUGCACAAAUACCUUACUUUUUAAAGUGCUUUGCAGAACUGUCUCUUCUGCCUUGACCUCUACCCCGAGAUCUCUGUGCUGUGAAGACUCUGCCUUUUUCCUCCUUUUUCCCUCUCUCUCCUCAGCUAACAAAGCCUCUUAUGCAAGUAAAAUAAAAUUUCAAGAAGACCACGUUAGAAGAGAACUGAUGUUAAGUAGAAAGCUGGGUAUAAAUCUGACAAAUACAGGGUCCAUCUUUUAUUAGCCCACUGUGUACCUGUGGGACUGCACCCAACACCCUCAUGGGUGAAGAAAGACCUCUGCUCAGGGCCUGUAGCAGGCCCUGGAAGUUUAAACUUCUCCCCAGUGCUCAACCUGAGUGACUAAGAAAGGCAAAAGAUUUCACAAAGGUAACAAGUAUUAGCUUUGCAAACUCCAUUGCCACAUUCUCACCUCUGUGUAGGCAUGGGAGAGGAGCACUUGUGUGCUUCUUCCCCCUUAGUCUGCGAGUUCCCCUGCUCCCAUCGACAGGACCAAGCACAGUCCCUUGGUCCCACCAGCCUUGUCCCACAUGGGAGACAAGCCAGAGACUGCUCCUUUUGGCUAUGACACCAAUAUCUACUGAAACAUGACAUUGUGGGGCUUUUAAUGCACCAUCGCUUUCUUCUUGCCUCCCAACCCUAACUCCUACACCAGUGAAAUGCUACAUUUACCAACUCACGCCAAAAUAAGUCGGAACAAUGAUCCUCAGGAUGUAUCUGCUCUAGUCCCAAAAUUUCUGACAGGGCUGUCACUGCAACUGACAAGGUAGCAACGUCUACCAUCUGUCUAAGGUGCAUGCAUAGCAAUGCAGCUCCAGCCCUCCAUAUGAGUCCUGGGGCCUUGCUUUGUUUCUAUGUCUAUUUUGAAAACAGGUUUGUUUCUCUUGUUAAAAGAUGACUUUGAUCAGCAAAGUGACGUGGGGAAGAAAGAAGCGGCAAAUUAUCUCAACGUUCCCCC